Molecule: long non-coding RNA, 575 nt
Organism: Ruditapes philippinarum (Manila clam)
Lineage: Eukaryota; Metazoa; Mollusca; Bivalvia; Venerida; Veneridae
Exons: 3
Source: RefSeq, a predicted model, not a curated record
UGACGAGAACUACUCACAAAGGGAAGAAGUUAUACGAUCAGCUUUCAGAACGUUUGAUAAAGACGGAAAUUGGUUACAUAGAUGCCAAAGAAUUGAGAGUGGCCAUGAAGAAAUUAGGAGAAUGUUUGACUGACAAGGAACUGGAAGAUAUGAUGAAGCAAGCAGAUGUUGAUGGGGACGGAAAGAUAAAUUAUGAAGAGUUUGUCAAGAUAUGGUGUGAAGCGACCUAGUGUAUCAAAGAUCUCACAUAGAUGUUGAUUUAUUUUUGUUUAUAUUGAUUAUAUAUCUCAACAAGAAUUAUGGCGUUUAAAUUAUAAUCGGAGGCAUUGUGUUGGUUCUAGUUUAUUUUGUUAUGCAUGGACACUGAACAUUCAUUUAUUGAUCUUUCAACUCGGAGCACAUUUCAUUCAAAGUGUAUGAUAUAUAUUAUGUAUAUGAAAUAUCUGAAAUUGCUCAAGAUGUGAAUAUGUUAAUGAAACUGUAAUCGUUUUUAAUGAAUGAAAACACAAUAACAUAUAAGUAUAUACAUUUAUAUAAUAUAAUACAAGAACAAUCAAAUCAUAUAAUAUAUGUAC